Molecule: ribosomal RNA, 556 nt
Filed under: uncultured bacterium
Lineage: Bacteria
Description: partial 16S ribosomal RNA
Rfam family: Bacterial small subunit ribosomal RNA
Source: RNAcentral
UGGGGAAUUUUGGACAAUGGGCGAAAGCCUGAUCCAGCAAUGCCGCGUGUGUGAAGAAGGCCUUCGGGUUGUAAAGCACUUUUGUCCGGAAAGAAAUCCUUGGCUCUAAUACAGUCGGGGGAUGACGGUACCGGAAGAAUAAGCACCGGCUAACUACGUGCCAGCAGCCGCGGUAAUACGUAGGGUGCAAGCGUUAAUCGGAAUUACUGGGCGUAAAGCGUGCGCAGGCGGUUUGCUAAGACCGAUGUGAAAUCCCCGGGCUCAACCUGGGAACUGCAUUGGUGACUGGCAGGCUAGAGUAUGGCAGAGGGGGGUAGAAUUCCACGUGUAGCAGUGAAAUGCGUAGAGAUGUGGAGGAAUACCGAUGGCGAAGGCAGCCCCCUGGGCCAAUACUGACGCUCAUGCACGAAAGCGUGGGGAGCAAACAGGAUUAGAUACCCUGGUAGUCCACGCCCUAAACGAUGUCACUAGUUGUUGGGGAUUCAUUUCCUUAGUAACGUAGCUAACGCGUGAAGUUGACCGCCUGGGGAGUACGGUCGCAAGAUUAAACUCAAUG